AGGUAUAUAGCUCAGUGGUAGAGGGCAUGCUUAGCAUGCAUGAGGUCCUGGGUUCAAUCCUCAGUACCUCCA
RNAcentral lists this transfer RNA (72 nucleotides) under Camelus bactrianus (Bactrian camel). It matches the Rfam family "tRNA". From Rfam's summary of the family: Transfer RNA (tRNA) molecules are approximately 80 nucleotides in length. Their secondary structure includes four short double-helical elements and three loops (D, anti-codon, and T loops). RNAcentral also lists the same sequence under 2 other names. Lineage: Eukaryota; Metazoa; Chordata; Mammalia; Artiodactyla; Camelidae. The record is from Rfam by way of RNAcentral.